This 467-nucleotide ribosomal RNA is filed under the name uncultured bacterium. Its description in RNAcentral is "partial 16S ribosomal RNA". It matches the Rfam family "Bacterial small subunit ribosomal RNA", at positions 29 to 507 of the family's 1533-position model. The record is from RNAcentral.
ACGAACGCUGGCGGCGUGCUUAACACAUGCAAGUCGAACGGAAAGGCCCUGCUUUUGUGGGGUGCUCGAGUGGCGAACGGGUGAGUAACACGUGAGUAACCUGCCCUUGACUUUGGGAUAACUUCAGGAAACUGGGGCUAAUACCGGAUAGGAGCUCCUGCUGCAUGGUGGGGGUUGGAAAGUUUCGGCGGUUGGGGAUGGACUCGCGGCUUAUCAGCUUGUUGGUGGGGUAGUGGCUUACCAAGGCUUUGACGGGUAGCCGGCCUGAGAGGGUGACCGGCCACAUUGGGAAUGAGAUACGGCCCAGACUCCUACGGGAGGCAGCAGUGGGGAAUAUUGCACAAUGGGCGGAAGCCUGAUGCAGCAACGCCGCGUGCGGGAUGACGGCCUUCGGGUUGUAAACCGCUUUCGCCUGUGACGAAGCGUGAGUGACGGUAAUGGGUAAAGAAGCACCGGCUAACUACGUG